Dermochelys coriacea (leatherback sea turtle) is the source of this 2657-nucleotide long non-coding RNA. RefSeq lists it as uncharacterized. NCBI's taxonomy places the organism in Eukaryota, Metazoa, Chordata, Testudines, Dermochelyidae. The record is from RefSeq and is a predicted model, not a curated record. The transcript has 3 exons.
CAAGGACUCACCCAGGUGAUCCCAAGGCAGGUAUUGGAAGCAGGCUCCUGUUUGCUCAAUGACUGGGUGCAUUCCCAUUGCUAGUUGGGCCAACACACUGCUCUGGCUCCUGCUCCAGCCUUACCUCUUUCUGCUGGCUGCCUGGCAACACUGAAACAUCUGAUCCUGCAGCAAUUACUGCUAGCAGCACUCUCGUCAGACCCUCCCUACUGAAUCGCUAGUGCAGUGACCCUGCAUUUUCUUUACAGGUUUCCCAGCCAAGUACUGCCCAGGUCUGGUUCAGUUCAGCUUGCAAGCUCUCUGGACCAGAGGCGGAUCAUGGCCCAGGGUACUACAGCUGCCCCACUUUGUUUAUCUGGACUUGCAGCAAACAGGGCUGUCUAGGAGCAUCUGUCUGGAGUCGCUAACGGCUAGGAGAGUUGGGAUGGAUUCAUUGCCAUUACCUGGGUGCCUCUUUUGCCCUUCCUUCCGGGGGCUCCAUGCUUGGGGCUGCUUCUCCCAGGAUUUCCCUGUGGAGCAUGGAGUCAGAGGGGUGUUGCCGGGGGAUCCUGGAGGCCCUGCGACACCACGGAGACUCCGGGAGCCUUUCCGCCCCUGGAUCAAGGCAGGAGGAAGAGAUUAGCAGCACGGAGCCAGCAGGGAAGAACGUCAGAAGGGUCAGGAAGUGCAGGAAGCUAUUGCUGAGUCCGCAUUGUUGGGGGACCCAUUUGAAGAUGAGUGGCUCUUUGGGAAGCAGCAUUACAAUGGGAUACGCAGUGAGCGUGGCCCAAAGGGCGUGGCGCAGGGGCUUGGGGCUGCCCGGCUCUGCUGCAGGACAUGCGAUUGGGCAGCUCACCUUCUCCCCAGGGAUGCCAUCGUAUCCAGCUUCCCCAGGAGCUCCCUGGAAAGAGAUUUGCAGUUGUCUUAGUCCUGGAUGCUACCUGGGACCUGUUUGAAUAAACAUGCACUCUGCAGCAAGCCCAGGAGCAGCUCGUGUCCUUCCUGGCCACAUCCGUUAGGGCCAGACCUUCUCAACAUUGUGCAUCUUGGCAGAGAGGAUGCCUUGUGGACACCUCCCCUCCUGUUCGAGCCACGAGCCACCUCCCCUGCUGCUCUUCAUUGUCCAGUCCCUCCUCCCCUGCCAUUCACCACUGCGCAGCUAGGAGCGCCACGGAAAUGCCGGGCACUGAGUGGCCCACUGCUCCGACCAGUUUUGCAGGUGGAUAUAUGGAGGCUGGUGAACAGUACAGCUCGGGGUGUUGGCCUUCCAUCUGCCCGGGAUGGCGCAGAUUCCCCUGGUACACCUGUACUGCCUGGCCCCAGAGGAGUGUGCCUGGAGUGCCACGUGCGGGGAGACGUUUAGGGAGAGGGUAUGACUAGCAGGCCUGGCUAUUGUGCAGAUGAGCCAUGAAGCUGAGCCCUGCCAUGCUAACCUUAAGGUUUGCUCUACAACAUACGUGGUAUUUGCCUGUUAGAUUCUACACGCACACCAAACAGUGAGGCCUCUGUACCUGCUCUCCAGGGUAUCCUGGCAGUCCCUGAAGCAAGACACAGAGAGAAAGUCAGUGAGGUGGAGGAAUCUCCGAACCAAAGGGAAAGCGGCUGCCAAGGCUGUAUCUGGCAUCUUACCUUGGGUCCACGUUGGCCUGGGCAUCCCUGGGUUCCCCAGCUUCCUUGGAGCCCCUGCAGUCCCUGCUCCCCCUGAAAUUGGGAUUGGAAAGGAGAGACCUUCAAGCACUCCAGUAAAAAAGGGGGCUUCAGAAAUAGGCAACACAUACAUCCCUAUGAAGGCCAGUGGCUGGGAGUCCCCCAGAGCCAGCUUUGUCUAGCUGGGGGAAUGUCUAGGGAGUACAAGCAGGAGUUGCAAUGGGAGAAAGCUGAGCUAAGGAGAAUCCAGGCUGGGUAUCAGGAAACACUCCCUAGCAGUGAAUGCUAUUCGAUUGCUCAAGGGGCAAGUGUGAGCAUGGGAGGGUCCAGUGCCAUUGGGCAGUGGACUCAUGGGCCAGUGUGAUUAUGGAAAGCGGUGGGAGCCCAUCACUUGGACUUUAGAAGCAGAAUAGAUGAAUCUCCAGGGCACAGUCCUGCACUGGCCCAUGAGGGAAAGAAUUAGAUGGGCUCUGAUUGAUCUGUUCCACCUCUGGCCCCUGGAACUCUAGCCUGCACUGCCUAGGGGAUGCUAGAGGCAGAUGGUGAGAGGGCUAUCUUCAGCCAAUGGGACACUUACGAGUGUCGGCGCCAGCACUAUCCCCAGGCUUUAUGAUUGCUCUGGUUUCUGAGCUGUCCUGCUGCUGCCAAGCUCUAAAUAAGGUGUGCAAACUCCAGUGACCAUACCAGGCGUGGCAAAGCUAUGCCAGAGCCCCCGCCCCUAUGCUGUCCUGAUCGAAGAUGCAGGGAGGGGGCCGGGUCUUUAUGGCUAGCUCUCUGAUCACCAGUAUAUGCCAACGGCAACGCCCAGCGGCCUUCCCACCCUGUGCACAGCGUCUCUGUCCUUGAAAGAGGUUAUCGGCCCUGAUCCAUGUUUGUGUGGUACAUCCCACACACCCCAUUUCUACACAGUGGGCCCCACCCUAGGUCAAGGAGCCCAGCAGCAGCCACCCCUCUCUUGUAGAUUUCAGAAACAGACAGCAGUUCUACUCACGCUGUGUCCGUAGUGCCCGUGAUCUCCAACCAGCCCCUUG